This 224-nucleotide ribosomal RNA is filed under the name uncultured bacterium. RNAcentral describes it as "partial 16S ribosomal RNA". It matches the Rfam family "Bacterial small subunit ribosomal RNA", at positions 553 to 776 of the family's 1533-position model. The record is from RNAcentral.
ACUGGGUGUAAAGGGAGCGUAGACGGCAGUGCAAGUCUGGAGUGAAAGGCGGGGGCUCAACCCCCGGACUGCUCUGGAAACUGUACAGCUGGAGUGCAGGAGAGGUAAGUGGAAUUCCUAGUGUAGCGGUGAAAUGCGUAGAUAUUAGGAGGAACACCAGUGGCGAAGGCGGCUUACUGGACUGUAACUGACGUUGAGGCUCGAAAGCGUGGGGAGCAAACAGG